Molecule: unclassified non-coding RNA, 314 nt
Filed under: air metagenome
Description: partial contains small subunit ribosomal RNA, internal transcribed spacer 1, and 5.8S ribosomal RNA
Rfam family: Eukaryotic small subunit ribosomal RNA (bases 1-46)
Source: RNAcentral
AAGUCGUAACAAGGUUUCCGUAGGUGAACCUGCGGAAGGAUCAUUAUUGAAUGAACUUGGUAUGGUUGUUGCUGGCCCUCUUGGGGGCAUGUGCACACCUGCCAUCCUCAUAUCUCCACCUGUGCACCUUAUGUAGGCUUGGAUUGACUUUCCGAGGCAACUCGGUUGAGAGGGCUGCCGGGGUAAUUCUGGCUUUCCUUGUAUUUCCAGGUCUAUGUUUUUCAUAUACUCCAUUGUAUGUAACAGAAUGCAUCAUUAGGCCCAUUGUGCCUAUAAAACUUAUACAACUUUCAGCAACGGAUCUCUUGGCUCUC